This is a long non-coding RNA of Portunus trituberculatus (swimming crab), 2610 nucleotides long. RefSeq lists it as uncharacterized. NCBI's taxonomy places the organism in Eukaryota, Metazoa, Arthropoda, Malacostraca, Decapoda, Portunidae. The transcript has 2 exons. The record is from RefSeq and is a predicted model, not a curated record.
GUAGUGUGGCAGACAGAGCAAAGCAUCCCGAGCGUCGCCGCAGCGCUAAGGAGUGUUCACCGGCGGCACCAGCCACACACUGCCAGGUCAGGCCAGGGCGGUGCGAGGCUCCACACUGGCCGGGGCAAGGUGAGGCUGACACGUAAUGCCUUCAGAGUAAAUGCAGCUUUCACUCCCAAACCAACACACACACAACACACACACACACACACACACACACACACACACACACACACACACACACACACCACGUAAGCUUAUUAAAGCAAUUAUUUUGAUAGGUUUUCAAUUCCACUACACCCACGUUUCCGUGCUACUCAUGCAAAACUUAGAAACGACCUUCCUCAUAGCUCUUGAAUGUUCAGUGCCUCUAGAAAUACAUAUCACAUUUACACUUUCAAUAAGUUCUACAGUAUCUAAAUUUACGUAUCAAGGCAUACUGUUACAGCAGCUGUACUCAUAUAACACUAAUUUACAGGAUUUAUAUUAUUUGAAAGUACUUUAGCUGAGCAUUGUCAUGGAACAUGGAUAAAAAACAAGUCAUCAACUGUUCUCUUUACACCAGUAAACAAAACACUCAUAGUGUCCUACAUAAUUUAGUAACAAUUUACUUCAAAUAAAAAUUAUGCCAAAGAAUUAACUUCUCUAUGGAUUAAUAUACAAUGUUGCCCAAACAUUGAGGAGGCAGGGCAGAAAAGGCCAUGCAAGCUAACAAUGGAACCUUGAUCCUAAGGGUGUGACAAGCAGAUGGUUGUGAAGCAUUGCAUCCGACAUGAGGCAUAGGUGACCCUGACAUGGGUGACUGAGGCUCCUCAUAACCUCCAGGACACACACACACAUACCCAUCAGGAACUGGGGAUGAACAGCCAAUCUGAUUGUUUAUGCAAUGAAUGAACACUGCAAAACUGCACCAAAAUUCGGAAGUCCUUAACACCUACCCUACUCCAAAUUUUUGUGUUUACUGUGACAAUCAUCUUUCCCUUCAAUUUUACACUAAGUAGGACUGCUUGAGCCUCUUGGCACAAAGUGGAGGUAUGGGACAUCAAGACAGGGAUACAAAAUCAGGAACACACACACACACAUAAGGAGGGGAGUUCAACAAUUUCUAAACAUGAAAACUAUCAAAAUAUAUAUAUGUAUUUACUUCCUGCACACAAAUUGAGCAUGUCCUUAAGUAGGAUUCAUAGGUACCUUAUCACCUUUCUCUUGCACACCAGUUUGGGUCCAAUAAGUGAUGCACAGAAAUUUGGGUCACACAGAACACAAACACAGGAAAUGACUUGGGCAACUAAGGGAAUAAAGCUAUACUUGUACACUGAACAUCCACCUUCACAUCAAAACAAGGGAAUUUGAACAAAGUGUAGCAUUACUGGGAUGAUGAGAUUUUCUUGACAAAAAGAUUGAUGAAUAAUACUCAGGUCGUCUUCAAUUAUUCCAAACACUCAAAAACUUCUGUUCAGCUGAGGAUUCGUAACGUCAAGCGUGGUGGUUAUAAUACUUGUACACAGAGAAUGAGAUUCAUAAUAUAACAAUAAUUCCGUUUGAUGCAAGUCAUCAAACACUAACAUUUGAGUUAAGGGACUUUUAAAAUUUUCAAAACAUGAGCACAUAUAUAUCUGCUGUCAUAUAGGAGACAUACAUAAGCAUUUACAUUUUAAAAAUUAUGUAGCUUAUGGAGAUGAAUCAAGAAAAGCAGUAAUUCUCUCCAGUCAGCUCAUGUCAAAAAGGAGACUUUGUAGUAGCCAGUCAGCCAGCCAGCCUUGUGUCAUUCCAUCAGAUGAAUCAAGCACACACUUACAUUCCCAAACAAGCAGAGGCAACAUGCAUUCUUGAAUAAAUUAAUGCACCCAAAACCUCUUGAACUACUUUUAAGACAGGGAAAAAAAAAGAAAAAAAAGAAAGGAAAAAAAAAGUGAUGCAUCCCUCAGAGCGAAAUGCAUUUCACCAGCAAGCGAUCUGAGCUGCAGCCUUCAUUCCCCUAAACUGUCAUGGAAUGUUGGUGGUUGGUUGGUUACACAUGCAAAAAAAUUCACUCUGGGUUUUUCUCAUUUUGGCACACUAAGAGGUGAGGCCUCUCGCGACGGAGGGGGGCCAAAACACUAAUAAUGUUGAGCUGCGGUGAACACUCCAGCAGACACUAUGGCUUCAGCCCAUGGUUACUGGAAAAGCCCACGGGAGGAGAUUGGUCUUGGGGUGAUUGGUGCCUGCGGGGGCGAGGGAGGGGAAGGUUGGGACAAGUUGUGGUGGUAGUUGUGGUUAUGCAUCUGCCAUUCCCAGGAGUAAUAAGCAACAAUGGCCAUGUUUUAGCAGUGGAGCAAAAUGCCCAAGGGAAGAAGGGUCUGUACAGGGGGCAGAGGACUGGGGGACUCAUGGAAGUGCCCAAAGAAGGGAAAGGAGGGGUGAGAGGGGGCAGGGAUCAUGAGAAACUCUAACCUAACUCCGUCUUGGUGGAAGAUUUCUAAAGCCCGAGAUCAGUAAUUUACACGGGUCUCGUGUGUGUGUGUGUGUGUGUGUGUGUGUGUGUGUGUGUGUGUGUGUGUGUGUGUGUGUGUGUGUGUGUGUGUGUGUGUGUGUGUGUGUGUGUGUGUGUGUGUGUGUGUGUGUGUGUGU